Molecule: non-coding RNA, 4726 nt
Organism: Equus caballus (horse)
Lineage: Eukaryota; Metazoa; Chordata; Mammalia; Perissodactyla; Equidae
Source: RefSeq, a predicted model, not a curated record
GAGCGGGGAGGCUGGGGUCUGUGCAGGAGCCUCCUCCCGGCAUGAACAUUUUGAGUAUGCAGAACACAUCUGCUCAGCCCGGAGCCGGCAGUUAGUGCAUACACACACACACACACACACACACCAGCGCUUUCCCCUCAAGUGAGGCGGCAUUAGCAACUGCAGUCCCAGCCUCUUCGGCUGAGGCACCAGCGGCCACUGCCUGAUUUGUUGGAGCAGCGCUGGAGCCCAGUUUCCGAGGGACCUGGGAACACGCUGCUGUCACAGCCAGUGGCAGACAGCCACUUCUUCCCCGCUGCUUCCCUAGCCCUGGCCAGAGGGCAUCCUCUUCCAAAAGCCGGUCAGCCUGGGGAGGAGGUUGCUCCGUGAGGAAGGUAAGACUGCCUCCCAGUCGCUCUCUCCUAACGCCAGCUGUCUCACAGUCCACUUUCAGUGUCAAUUUUGUUUGGACAUCGGUGCUAAGAUGUAAACUGACUGAUCACCCCAGAUAGCUGUCUCACGGCAUCAAUCUAUCGAUUCUCACUGCACGGGGUAAAGAAGAAACCACCGCAUCAGAUAAAUCACAUUUUCACUGGACUGAUUGGACUGAAAAAGCAAAGCUGAAUGAGAAGCUGCUUUUUCUGAAGGAGUGAAGAGGCGGUUGGAACACUUGAUCUUUCCUUCCGGUAAAAGGAUAAAUAGUAUUGCUGCUCCCAAGAAAGCUUAAUUCACAAUGCCCUUCUUGGACACUGAUGGAAAUGUCUAAUUAAGGUAAAAUACAUAUAUAUACACACAUAUUAAUUAAAUUUUAUGCAUGAUUAACGUUCUUAUACCUAUUCUAUACUCAAGUGAUUGUGGUCUGCAGAAACCCACUGACGGGCAAGGGAAAGGAGAAGAGUAAUAACCGUGGUGCUAUUUUCAUUUUCUCUUUAGUCUUGAGGAAAAUCUUGUAAAGUGGCAUUCUCAACAAGCUUCUGUCAGUAGGGUCUGUCACAGUUGGUGGAGGUGACUGGCAUUAGAUGUGCAGAUUUCUUUUGGCUUGAAUGGAUUGGUUUUCUUCCUUGUGAAGCUUUUUUUUUUAAUUUAAUCUUUGGAGAAGCCCAAAGGAGAGGAUUGAACCUUUGUUUGCAAUACCAAAGGAAAGCCCAGCAUUUAGAAAAUCCUUAUAAAUAGGAUUUCCUCUGUUGAACUUGACUGAAAGAGAUUCUAGUUGAACGUGGAAAGGGCUAUAUUUAAGUAGGCAAGUAAAUUCUUUGGUGUAUGGGAGAAAAAACUUUUCCUCUACCCUCUUAGGUUUAGUACUUGAGGCUUGUGAAUUAAACUGACAAAAGACAGAGUAACAGGAGAAAAAAAUUACACGUGCAAAGAGCAUACAUUUGAGAGCGCUCAGCGAUGAGUAAUUCAAAGGAGUGGUUAUACAUUGGGACUUCUGUACCUAAUUUAGUAUUGGAAAGUGAGGGGAAGAAAAAGCUCCUAUGAGAAGAACAAAUAGGUUUCUUUAGGAAAGACAGAUGGGUUUUUUGGGAGAACAAAUGGGAGAUAAGAAAGUUUGUGAUAAAUACUUGUCUAUACAAGUAUGAAUGGUUGGUCUUUUCAUCUUCUUCAGAACCAUAAAACUCCCCAAGAGAUGGCAUUUAAUAGUAGCUUUACCCUUCGUCUUUCUCCUGGGAGCAGACCCACCCCAAAGAGGGAAUUUAAGGCAGUCCUCAUUUCUCAGAAGUUUCUGCUUUUAGUCAAAUAACGGAAGCUCCGUGAAGGACAGCUUCUUUCUGCAUCUGCUGAAUCUCAAGAGUCUUCAAUAAUCUUUAUACCAAAUCUGGGGUUCUGAGUGUGUUCCCACAUUGGCUAUCAGAAGAUAUUUCUGCAUUUGGCUUUUUUGGGGGUUAAGGUUUUACAAUCUGUUAUCUUUUUAGCUUAGAGUAAUCAGUAUUUAGCAGGGCAUGAAUGAAAAUACAAUAUCAUAUUUUUAUAGGAAUUCAUGAGGAUCAUUGGAUAUUCUAUGCUUUUUUAAGUUUUAUUCUUUGGUUUUGAUCACAGCUCAUGUCUGAGAGAGAGAAUUCCCACAGAGACUGUGUGGGAUGUCCCUGUGUUGGUGAUGCUCUCUCAGGUUGCAAAGAAGACAGGACUAGUCCAGUUACAUCAGCUGAUGGGGAAUUACUUUAAAAGUACCGGGAAAAGUAAGGAAACCAUCUGAGCAACAACACAGUCAGGUUUUAUGAAGAAGAGGAAAGACGUUCAGCACAUAAUAGUGACCCUGAGGUGUAGCCAGAACCACUUCAUUUUACUGUACCUUUAUGACUGCUGAGAACCACCUCUGCCUGUAGCGUCUCCAUGCUUGCAACGCAGAGGGAGAUGAGCGUUGCCCUCCAUUCCCACUACUACAGCUGUCUCUGCUUCUGUCUGUCUUGUGGCUUCUGUGUCAUGCUGAAGCGCACACACAUCCAGAUUCUUAACGUAGAAGGAUCAGAUUAAGUUGAUUUGUCACUAUUCCUUGUAGGAUGUCUUAGUUGGAAGAGUCCCUGUGUGAAACAUUCUCUAGGUCCCCAGACUCCCUAAAGUCUAGUCCACCACACAGUUGUUUGUAAGUAGCCGUUGUGCAAACACAGGGUCCACUGAGGUGUGGCCAGGGUAACAAAUCUACAUGGCUUAAACAUGAAAGGUAGAAGAAACAGUCUUUGGCCUCUUUCCUAGGAAGGGGCUGUGGGAAUGUCAGGCACUUGUAGAAGAACUCUCAUUCUUUGGGAUGCUGGGUUUUUUGUUUGAUCAGACUAUUGAUUGCUAAUUCCCUAUGCAUUGCAAUGUCCUUUAGGAACACCAGAAUAGCAGAAUUUCCUUGGUUCAUAUGUGAGAACACGACUGAAACCUGUUCGGACCGGUCCAACAGAAAGGCUGCCAUUGAAUAGGAAAACAAACUUGGACCAUUAAGAAUGAAAGACAAGCUGGGAUUCUAUGCUAUAAGAAGCAACAUAAGAGACAAGCUAAGGAAAGGGAAGGGCACUUGUGAAGGAACCAAAAGGAGAUGCUUGAGAGGAGAAGUGUCCAGGGAAUGAGAUAUAGAUCAUCCCAGGCUUUUCCAUAGGGGAGCAUGAAAGGAACAUGGGAUGUCCUUUUUUAGGACUCAGAGGUCCAGAGUCUGAGAGUAGUCAAUAAAAGGCAACUUGAAUAAGACUCUUGAUUCAUCCACCCCAAAGAAUCAGUGAGUGGCCUAAGAUAGGAGAGAUAUGAGAGGGAAACACAAGAAAGAGAACUGAGUCAGGGAAUUAACGAGUCCUUAGAAGGAAAGUUGUCCCAAUCUCCUCUGCCUCCUUCUACCCAAACUUCUAAUGACUUGGAGUAAUCUAAGGCAGCAAAUUUCCACUUACGCUAAAGUAUUUCUCUAAAAAUCAAGCAAUACCAAGCUUUUUCUUUCACACAAAAAAAUAGGUUAAUAGAUAAAAUGUUCUCAUUUUAAAACUAUCCUCCCUCAGUUUUGUCCUGAAACUUUGGGACCUGCUCUGUUAGAUCUUCCAUGUGUACCUGCCAGGGACCAAAGUGAUAGACAUGUUACAAAUGAUGUUAAUGGAAAGACUCAGAAAUAGGUGAUCAUGCUUAGGUCAUGAUGUAUUUUUUUUAUAGAUUUGGAUUCCUUUGCUCUGGUUUUCUGUUGCGUUUAUACACAGCAAUCUAAUCACAUUUUCUGCUCAUAAAAGUCAUACUUAGUAAAGAUACUGGGAUUAACUGUGUCUUUUGUACUGGGGCUGUGCAAUCAUCAUGGUGUGCUGUGACUUCCAGGUGCUCUGCCACCUGGACAUUGUACAGAACCACUGUUCAGGUCAUAGUUUCCAUAUGUGACUCCCAUGUUUUUACGAACUUUGUUAUUGUUGAUUACGUUUCCCAGACUCUCUUUCUACAGCACUUCACUGUGUUCUCACAUGCAAGAGAGUAUAUUUGCCCGGCAUUUCCAGACAAAGACUUGAGGCUUGCAAUAUGAUAGCCUAUAGGUCACCCAAGGCCACCAAGAUGCAUGAUAAACUCAAGAAAAUGCCAACUCAAUGACUUGCCCGGAAUGUUCAGGAGAUGACGCCUCCUUCUGGGGAGCCAGAUGGCAAAUGAACGAUCUGCUGAUGCUUUUACAAAAUGGAGGUGAAAAACACUUCAUGACCAGUUGACUAGGCCUAGAAAAGGGACUGGAGAGUUGGUCAAAAGUAUUUAUUAAGCACUUGUCACAUGCUUUAGGAAUAAGGUCAGCUGAGGAGGAAGGUCUCCAGGCUGAUCUUUUCAAUCAGAUGAGCCAGUUUGUGAGAGGAGGAAGACAAGAUGGGAAUCACGUCAAGAAGCCUCCAAAUUAAUGACUUGGGUAAAAGUUCUCCACCACAGACAUCUGGAUGGUGAAAUCCACGUCUUAACUCAGGGAACUGGCUUGCCUAGAUGGCUAAUGCCAGAAGUCAGUUUUCCAAAGACUGGCUAGAAAGAGAGAAAUUUUAUCUGGGUAGCCAAACCAUGGAGCUCUAAACCAAAGUCCUUGAGAGAUGGUGAGGUGUUGAGAACAUAAACCAAAUACGAACUCUAAGUCUGAAGGGCAACACUUCUCUUAAGAAGGCAGAAAGAAGAGGCAGAGCCAAGGGUCAGAAAUAAAAUGUCUAAAAUUUAUGGAGCACUUGCCAUCUAACUACCAGGCACUGUUCAUUAUGUACACAUGUUAACUCGUUUAAAUGAGAAUGAUACUAAUAUCAUCCCUAUCUUGCAGAGGACAAAAUUGAGGCACAAA